CAUCGAUGGUCAGUCAGGGC
Molecule: non-coding RNA, 20 nt
Filed under: Rattus norvegicus (Norway rat)
Lineage: Eukaryota; Metazoa; Chordata; Mammalia; Rodentia; Muridae
Source: RNAcentral